Molecule: ribosomal RNA, 237 nt
Filed under: Podophyllum cymosum (umbrella leaf)
Lineage: Eukaryota; Viridiplantae; Streptophyta; Magnoliopsida; Ranunculales; Berberidaceae
Description: Diphylleia cymosa (umbrella leaf) partial 5.8S ribosomal RNA
Source: RNAcentral
ACAACGUCGCUCCACCCAUUAUAUUCUCACCUUAUCCAGGUUGGGAAUUGAUGUAUAGAAGCGGAUAUUGGCCCCCCGUGCCUUAUAGGUGCGGUCGGCUUAAAAUUUGGCCCUCGGCGAUGAGCGUCACGAUCAGUGGUGGUUUUAAAACCCCUUUGUCAUUGACCGGAAUUGUGUUGCCUCACCUCAUAUCAGGCUAUGCGGACCCUUGUCUGUCGUUAGCGCGACAUUCACUUU